Molecule: ribosomal RNA, 2929 nt
Filed under: Salmonella enterica
Lineage: Bacteria; Pseudomonadati; Pseudomonadota; Gammaproteobacteria; Enterobacterales; Enterobacteriaceae
Also listed under: 2 other names
Description: 23S ribosomal RNA
Rfam family: Bacterial large subunit ribosomal RNA
Source: RNAcentral
GGGUUGUGAGGUUAAGCGACUAAGCGUACACGGUGGAUGCCCUGGCAGUCAGAGGCGAUGAAGGGCGUGCUAAUCUGCGAUAAGCGCCGGUAAGGUGAUAUGAACCGUUAUAACCGGCGAUACCCGAAUGGGGAAACCCAGUGUGAUUCGUCACACUAUCAUUAACUGAAUCCAUAGGUUAAUGAGGCGAACCGGGGGAACUGAAACAUCUAAGUACCCCGAGGAAAAGAAAUCAACCGAGAUUCCCCCAGUAGCGGCGAGCGAACGGGGAGGAGCCCAGAGCCUGAAUCAGCAUGUGUGUUAGUGGAAGCGUCUGGAAAGGCGCGCGAUACAGGGUGACAGCCCCGUACACAAAAGCGCAUGUGCUGUGAGCUCGAUGAGUAGGGCGGGACACGUGGUAUCCUGUCUGAAUAUGGGGGGACCAUCCUCCAAGGCUAAAUACUCCUGACUGACCGAUAGUGAACCAGUACCGUGAGGGAAAGGCGAAAAGAACCCCGGCGAGGGGAGUGAAAAAGAACCUGAAACCGUGUACGUACAAGCAGUGGGAGCACAGGUUUACCUGUGUGACUGCGUACCUUUUGUAUAAUGGGUCAGCGACUUAUAUUCUGUAGCAAGGUUAACCGCAUAGGGGAGCCGGAGGGAAACCGAGUCUUAAUUGGGCGUUAAGUUGCAGGGUAUAGACCCGAAACCCGGUGAUCUAGCCAUGGGCAGGUUGAAGGUUGGGUAACACUAACUGGAGGACCGAACCGACUAAUGUUGAAAAAUUAGCGGAUGACCUGUGGCUGGGGGUGAAAGGCCAAUCAAACCGGGAGAUAGCUGGUUCUCCCCGAAAGCUAUUUAGGUAGCGCCUCGUGAAUUCAUCUCCGGGGGUAGAGCACUGUUUCGGCUAGGGGGCCAUCCCGGCUUACCAACCCGAUGCAAACUGCGAAUACCGGAGAAUGUUAUCACGGGAGACACACGGCGGGUGCUAACGUCCGUCGUGAAGAGGGAAACAACCCAGACCGCCAGCUAAGGUCCCAAAGUCAUGGUUAAGUGGGAAACGAUGUGGGAAGGCCCAGACAGCCAGGAUGUUGGCUUAGAAGCAGCCAUCAUUUAAAGAAAGCGUAAUAGCUCACUGGUCGAGUCGGCCUGCGCGGAAGAUGUAACGGGGCUAAACCAUGCACCGAAGCUGCGGCAGCGACGCUUAUGCGUUGUUGGGUAGGGGAGCGUUCUGUAAGCCUGCGAAGGUGGCCUGUGAGGGUUGCUGGAGGUAUCAGAAGUGCGAAUGCUGACAUAAGUAACGAUAAAGCGGGUGAAAAGCCCGCUCGCCGGAAGACCAAGGGUUCCUGUCCAACGUUAAUCGGGGCAGGGUGAGUCGACCCCUAAGGCGAGGCCGAAAGGCGUAGUCGAUGGGAAACGGGUUAAUAUUCCCGUACUUGGUGUUACUGCGAAGGGGGGACGGAGAAGGCUAUGUUGGCCGGGCGACGGUUGUCCCGGUUUAAGCGUGUAGGUGUGUGUUCCAGGUAAAUCCGGUUCACUUUAACACUGAGGCGUGACGACGAGGCACUACGGUGCUGAAGCAACAAAUGCCCUGCUUCCAGGAAAAGCCUCUAAGCAUCAGGUAACAUCAAAUCGUACCCCAAACCGACACAGGUGGUCAGGUAGAGAAUACCAAGGCGCUUGAGAGAACUCGGGUGAAGGAACUAGGCAAAAUGGUGCCGUAACUUCGGGAGAAGGCACGCUGACACGUAGGUGAAGUGAUUUACUCACGGAGCUGAAGUCAGUCGAAGAUACCAGCUGGCUGCAACUGUUUAUUAAAAACACAGCACUGUGCAAACACGAAAGUGGACGUAUACGGUGUGACGCCUGCCCGGUGCCGGAAGGUUAAUUGAUGGGGUCAGCGCAAGCGAAGCUCCUGAUCGAAGCCCCGGUAAACGGCGGCCGUAACUAUAACGGUCCUAAGGUAGCGAAAUUCCUUGUCGGGUAAGUUCCGACCUGCACGAAUGGCGUAAUGAUGGCCAGGCUGUCUCCACCCGAGACUCAGUGAAAUUGAACUCGCUGUGAAGAUGCAGUGUACCCGCGGCAAGACGGAAAGACCCCGUGAACCUUUACUAUAGCUUGACACUGAACAUUGAGCCUUGAUGUGUAGGAUAGGUGGGAGGCUUUGAAGUGUGGACGCCAGUCUGCAUGGAGCCGACCUUGAAAUACCACCCUUUAAUGUUUGAUGUUCUAACGUGGACCCGUAAUCCGGGUUGCGGACAGUGUCUGGUGGGUAGUUUGACUGGGGCGGUCUCCUCCUAAAGAGUAACGGAGGAGCACGAAGGUUGGCUAAUCCUGGUCGGACAUCAGGAGGUUAGUGCAAUGGCAUAAGCCAGCUUGACUGCGAGCGUGACGGCGCGAGCAGGUGCGAAAGCAGGUCAUAGUGAUCCGGUGGUUCUGAAUGGAAGGGCCAUCGCUCAACGGAUAAAAGGUACUCCGGGGAUAACAGGCUGAUACCGCCCAAGAGUUCAUAUCGACGGCGGUGUUUGGCACCUCGAUGUCGGCUCAUCACAUCCUGGGGCUGAAGUAGGUCCCAAGGGUAUGGCUGUUCGCCAUUUAAAGUGGUACGCGAGCUGGGUUUAGAACGUCGUGAGACAGUUCGGUCCCUAUCUGCCGUGGGCGCUGGAGAACUGAGGGGGGCUGCUCCUAGUACGAGAGGACCGGAGUGGACGCAUCACUGGUGUUCGGGUUGUCAUGCCAAUGGCACUGCCCGGUAGCUAAAUGCGGAAGAGAUAAGUGCUGAAAGCAUCUAAGCACGAAACUUGCCCCGAGAUGAGUUCUCCCUGAGACUUAGAGUCUCCUGAAGGAACGUUGAAGACGACGACGUUGAUAGGCCGGGUGUGUAAGCGCAGCGAUGCGUUGAGCUAACCGGUACUAAUGAACCGUGAGGCUUAACCUUACAACGCCGAAG